GUUGAACGCUGGCGGCAGGCUUAACACGCGCAAGUCGAGCGGAGAUGAGGUGCUUGCACAUUAUCUUAGCGGCGGACGGGUGAGUAAUGCUUAGGAAUCUGCCUAUUAGUGGGGGACAACAUUCCGAAAGGAAUGCUAAUACCGCAUACGUCCUACGGGAGAAAGCAGGGGAUCUUCGGACCUUGCGCUAAUAGAUGAGCCUAAGUCGGAUUAGCUAGUUGGUGGGGUAAAGGCCUACCAAGGCGACGAUCUGUAGCGGGUCUGAGAGGAUGAUCCGCCACACUGGGACUGAGACACGGCCCAGACUCCUACGGGAGGCAGCAGUGGGGAAUAUUGGACAAUGGGGGGAACCCUGAUCCAGCCAUGCCGCGUGUGUGAAGAAGGCCUUAUGGUUGUAAAGCACUUUAAGCGAGGAGGAGGCUACUGAGACUAAUACUCUUGGAUAGUGGACGUUACUCGCAGAAUAAGCACCGGCUAACUCUGUGCCAGCCGCCGCAGUAA
This 501-nucleotide ribosomal RNA is filed under the name uncultured bacterium. Its description in RNAcentral is "partial 16S ribosomal RNA". It matches the Rfam family "Bacterial small subunit ribosomal RNA", at positions 28 to 523 of the family's 1533-position model. The record is from RNAcentral.